GUGUAAAGGCAUAAGGGAACUUGACUGCGAGACCUACAAGUCGAGCAGGGUCGAAAGACGGACUUAGUGAUCCGGUGGUUCCGCAUGGAAGGGCCAUCGCUCAACGGAUAAAAGCUACCCCGGGGAUAACAGGCUUAUCUCCCCCAAGAGUUCACAUCGACGGGGAGGUUUGGCACCUCGAUGUCGGCUCAUCGCAUCCUGGGGCUGUAGUCGGUCCCAAGGGUUGGGCUGUUCGCCCAUUAAAGCGGUACGCGAGCUGGGUUCAGAACGUCGUGAGACAGUUCGGUCCCUAUCCGUCGUGGGCGUAGGAAAUUUGAGAGGAGCUGUCCUUAGUACGAGAGGACCGGGAUGGACAUACCUCUGGUGUACCAGUUGUCGUGCCAACGGCAUAGCUGGGUAGCUAUGUGUGGACGGGAUAAGUGCUGAAAGCAUCUAAGCAUGAAGCCCCCCUCAAGAUGAGAUUUCCCAACUUCGGUUAUAAGAUCCCUCAAAGA
Molecule: ribosomal RNA, 494 nt
Filed under: Staphylococcus aureus
Lineage: Bacteria; Bacillati; Bacillota; Bacilli; Caryophanales; Staphylococcaceae
Description: partial 23S ribosomal RNA
Rfam family: Bacterial large subunit ribosomal RNA
Source: RNAcentral